RNAcentral lists this transfer RNA (96 nucleotides) under Caldinitratiruptor microaerophilus. Its description in RNAcentral is "tRNA-Ser". Lineage: Bacteria; Bacillati; Bacillota; Clostridia; Eubacteriales; Symbiobacteriaceae. The record is from RNAcentral.
GGCCUCCUGGACGGCGGUGGAGAACCCUGCCCGGUCCCAGAGCGGCCGGGCGGCGGCCGGCGGGCCGCUGCCGGUUCGCACGCCGCCGGAGGCCCC